GCCAAUUUAGGAUUCAGUUCACUGAUCAAACCGAUUGGUUCGAUUUAAGUUUAAUAACUAUGAAUAUGAUGCAUUUUGCAAUGAGAUUACAAAAUAGCACGGAAAAUUUCUGGUAAUGGUUAGCGGCAAAGUACAUCUGGUGAGGUAAACUGGUGAAUUAGAGUCCUGCAUUUGCAGAAAAUCCCACUCUCGGUGGGUUUCCUAUCCAUUGCGGACUCCAUGUCCAGAAGCUUGGAGCAACUAUUCUGAACUCGUUCAGCUCGGCACAAAAAAACAUGAAAUCAGAAGCUUCAAAUUAGUUGCUUAACACUCGAGCAGCUCUGCAAAGUUACUUGCACUGUGCAUAACUUUUAACUGUCAGGUCAGUUGUGUAACCAUGGUCCAAGGAAUUCAAAAGAGAAGCAAAUCGUUGGUGUUCAUUUCUCACUGUAGUGGUAGAGACUAGCCAAGUAAUUGGGGGGUUUUGGUUCAAAUGAGAUUGUGACAAUUACUUGGAAGAUGCUUAAGCAUUUCACAUAGAGACGUGUAAUAGAGCAUUCAAAUAUAACAUAUAAUUGCCUGCUAUUUCCGCCAAAUUAGCGAACUGUAUGUCCAACAGAAAUAGGAGGAAAAAAAUGAUAAGCCAAGGGCAGACAGUCUUCUAUCAAUUAAUUGAUUUGUGUUCCACACAGAAUGAAAAAUAGGGGGAAAAAAUUAAAAGGCAAAAAGUAUACAUACAUACAUACAUACAUAUAUAAGCUACAAAUCAACUGUGAGAAAUUGCUACCUGCAACCCUUCAACAGAUAGGAAGAGGGACUUGAGAAGGUCAUGGCAGUUGAAGAUAUCCCCCUUUCUGUUCCCUUCCCGGGUGCCUCACAUUCACUGAAGUCAAGGGUGCGGCAUUCUGUCGAAACGUUUGAAGCCAAUCGGGAACGAUUCUCAAGCUGAUUAUUUGGUGCAUCAUUGUUCUCAAGGUUCAUAUUGGAGUGCCUUUUUUCUAAUAUUGUUUCAUGAGUUUCAUUUCCCAAAACUUCCAAAGCAUCAGCAUAAGCAGAGGCAGUUUGCUCGCUUAACUGCUUCAUCAAUGCAAUGGCAUCAUAGCUUCUCUCACCAGGGCUCAAAAAAUACCCAAUAUCCUCAAUAGAUAUGUCUGUGUCAACUCUUGGGCCAGGCAGAAAAGAAUUAAUGAACCAAGGAGACUUCCAUGCUGAAGGAGAUUCAAUACUCCUUUUGAAAGGAGUUUCACCAAAUAUGCUAAGAUUUUCAGCACCAGCAUCAUUCUCAGUAUUAUCAAUUGUAUUCUCUGAACGUGCUGAUGUGGAUGCAAGUAAAAGAUUUUCAUUAUUCUUCUUGCAAAUGGUUGGGGAUCUAACAACUAUACAUGAAUUUCCAGAUGAAGAUUCCGAAGCAAUACAUUUUUCUGAUAAAGUUCCCAAUAUUCUACGGUAUAAAUUCUUUGGAGUUCGAGAACUUGGAGCAAAUGCUUUGUCUCCUUGAAAACCAACUUGAUCAGGAGAAAAUAAUAGCAGAUCAUUCAUGCUGUCUUCAACAAGAACUCCAGAAGGCUGUUCCACAUUUAGGGUACUAGCAUUGGUAUGAACCUUAUUCUUAGCAUCAGCAUCAGAAGUUCCCUGCUCCUUGUUGUCCUGGGAAUUACUGCUAUCACAAUCUUUCUCGGAAAUUUUCUUAUCCACAAAUGCAGGGCAAUCUCUCCCCUUUUCCUCUCUACCUUCAAAAGCAGGAUCCAAAUUUUCUUUAUCUUCAUAGGUAGAUCCAUGGUUCCUUUUCUGAUUAGAUGGAGAUAGCCGAGAUGCUGUGUGUGUCUCACUCUCAUCAAACAUAACAUCCAACCUUGAAAACUCCUUGGUCAAACUAGAUGUCAUGUCAAUCUCAAGUUUUUUUGUCAACUCUUCUAUCAGACAAAGGUGAUAACAAAUCACGAUUUCGUUUCUUCAAAAUGGAUGGUGUACCGGAAAAAGUCCUAGCGGCACUCUUCAGCACGGCAUCAGGACUAUCAUCUCGAGAUGGUGACUCCCAUAACCUAAAUGGAGUGAUGCAGUUCAUGGAUGACAUCAUUAGUUGGCGGAUACCUAGAGGGCUAUACUCUUGCUGCAUAUCACUACCAGAUUGAAUAAGAUCACAGCUCAGAAAAGGAAUAUCCAAGCUUGGGAAACGUGGAGGUUCAUAGCAUAGAGCUCCCGCAUCCUGCUGUUCUGUGUGCACAUUUGGCAUUUCAUCCACAGGACACGACUGUAUGGUAUCGGAACCAGAAGUGAAAGUGUCCGGUGGAGCUAAUUUUGAAGGUUCCCGCAGAUAAUGUUGCUCUUGCAUGUCUGUGUUAUCUGUACCAUCACCACAGGGAGAUCUAUCAGUGCCAUCAGUGUAUAUAAAGCCAUCAUGUGCACUUAUAACAUACUCUUGUUCAUUUGCCGCAAAAGAAUGAUUAAUUAUUUGAUUUUGUUCCCUUCUGCAUAUUAGAUUACUAUCAUCAGCCGAAAGUAGUGAAGGGCCAGAUGGAAAUGGUUGGCUGCAUGUAGCGGCCAAUACAACAGAUUUUGAAGGACUAAAUGGUUGUGCACUUCUGUCAGUUUCAGAUAUCUGGUAGUUUGAGGAUUGACAGUUUAAGGAAUCUAUACAUGCAACUGAGUUUGAGCCCUUUGUAAAAUUUCCAGAGGAGAAAAUACCACCAUUCAUUGCGUCAGAAAAUAAGAACCGGCAACAUUCAUCAUCUGAUAUUAAGAUGUGGUCUGGUUUAGCAGAACUUGCAGUGAUAUUUCCCAUGGAAGUUUGAAAUGAAACAUUCACCAGUUCAUGGCUUUCAUUUGCAGCUAUACAAUGAGUUGAUAACCCUGAUGACUCCUGCCCUAGUUCUAGAGAAGAAAUGUUACGAAACUCCUGUAAAUCAAAUUGGUAAUCACUGCUUGCAGAAGUUAUAGGGUUCUGUGAGAAGUUUUGCUGGAGAAAAUUGGAAGGGCAACCCACUUCACAAGGUAUUUCUGGGAUGGAAAAAGUAACAUCUGCCACUGACAUGAAGUAUUGUUCUGAACAAGAUACUGGACUAGAGCUGUGCUCCUUACCUAAACCAGCCUCUUCAGCAAGCUGGAAUUCUUCCCUUGUAUGUAAAACUGCAUUACCUAAGCCACUUGCAGUCUGAGAGCAGCCAGCAACAAUUGACUCUUGACUGCAUUCUGAUAUUUCCUCUGUUUCUGUUCCACAUUUUGGACCAGUAUCAUCUCCACUGCUUUGCACCCAUGAAGAAGAUGAAGGCAUAGGCUGAUUUUUGUGUGCAACAAAAGGGAGGCCUUGGAACUGCUCUAAUAAACCAGAUGCCAAGUAAGAGUCCAAUUUCUUUUUCACAGAACUAUUCCAGUGAUUUUUUAUAGCAUUGUCUGUCCUUCCAGGCAAGAAUUUUGUAAGCUCUGCCCAUCUGUUCCCAUAAAUCUGAUGAGCACGAAUCAAGGCCAACUCCUCCUGCUGGGUCCAUGCUUCUUUGUUUAUUGAAGGAUUAAGAUGAUUAUGCCACCUUUCUCUGCACUGUUUUCCAAUUCGUCCAGGUAAAUGAUGUGCAAUUGUGGACCACUUCUUUGGCCCAUAUUUGUUCACCAUUUCAAUUAUUAUUUCAUCCUCCUCCUUUGACCAUGGACCUUUAACAAGCUCUGGAUUUAAGACCUUCUGCCACCUAUGAAGGCAUUGUACAUCUGUCCGGUCCUUGAAACACUCAGCAAUCUUUUUCCAGUUCUUUCCUUUGAAACGCUGAACAGCCUUGCACAAAAUCUCAUCCUCUUCAGCUGUCCAUUGCCCCUUUGUGGAACGCCUUGCUGGGCCACUAGUCCGUCCAUGCAGAGGCCGAAUUCUCUGAACGCCCUCACUGUGCCCAUCUGAGGGAGCAGAAAUUGACUUGUCACUUUCCAUAGUUCUUUGAUAGACAAAUAAAGCAGCAUACCCCAAUUCCCACACUACAGCAAUUUUCUCCAGAGUAUGUCCUCAAAGUCAUCAUAAAUCUCCCUACUAAGCAAUUUGAAUUUCCCUCUUGCCAGACAAAAUCACAAUCCAACUGAGCUUUAGAAAGAGAAAUGCAGAGAUAGCAAGAAGAGAGACCGAUACGGUACGCAUUUGCAGAUCCUAAAGGAGUUCAAGAGAUCUGCAAAAUGCAAAUGCACUGAAAGAGUACAGUGU
Molecule: unclassified non-coding RNA, 4156 nt
Filed under: Hevea brasiliensis (rubber tree)
Lineage: Eukaryota; Viridiplantae; Streptophyta; Magnoliopsida; Malpighiales; Euphorbiaceae
Source: RNAcentral